Molecule: ribosomal RNA, 1494 nt
Filed under: uncultured bacterium
Lineage: Bacteria
Description: bacterial SSU rRNA
Rfam family: Bacterial small subunit ribosomal RNA
Source: RNAcentral
AUUGAACGCUGGCGGCAGGCCUAACACAUGCAAGUCGAACGGUAACAGGAAGAAGCUUGCUUCUUUGCUGACGAGUGGCGGACGGGUGAGUAAUGUCUGGGAAACUGCCUGAUGGAGGGGGAUAACUACUGGAAACGGUAGCUAAUACCGCAUAACGUCGCAAGACCAAAGAGGGGGACCUUCGGGCCUCUUGCCAUCGGAUGUGCCCAGAUGGGAUUAGCUAGUAGGUGGGGUAACGGCUCACCUAGGCGACGAUCCCUAGCUGGUCUGAGAGGAUGACCAGCCACACUGGAACUGAGACACGGUCCAGACUCCUACGGGAGGCAGCAGUGGGGAAUAUUGCACAAUGGGCGCAAGCCUGAUGCAGCCAUGCCGCGUGUAUGAAGAAGGCCUUCGGGUUGUAAAGUACUUUCAGCGGGGAGGAAGGGAGUAAAGUUAAUACCUUUGCUCAUUGACGUUACCCGCAGAAGAAGCACCGGCUAACUCCGUGCCAGCAGCCGCGGUAAUACGGAGGGUGCAAGCGUUAAUCGGAAUUACUGGGCGUAAAGCGCACGCAGGCGGUUUGUUAAGUCAGAUGUGAAAUCCCCGGGCUCAACCUGGGAACUGCAUCUGAUACUGGCAAGCUUGAGUCUCGUAGAGGGGGGUAGAAUUCCAGGUGUAGCGGUGAAAUGCGUAGAGAUCUGGAGGAAUACCGGUGGCGAAGGCGGCCCCCUGGACGAAGACUGACGCUCAGGUGCGAAAGCGUGGGGAGCAAACAGGAUUAGAUACCUUGGUAGUCCACGCCGUAAACGAUGUCGACUUGGAGGUUGUGCCCUUGAGGCGUGGCUUCCGGAGCUAACGCGUUAAGUCGACCGCCUGGGGAGUACGGCCGCAAGGUUAAAACUCAAAUGAAUUGACGGGGGCCCGCACAAGCGGUGGAGCAUGUGGUUUAAUUCGAUGCAACGCGAAGAACCUUACCUGGUCUUGACAUCCACGGAAGUUUUCAGAGAUGAGAAUGUGCCUUCGGGAACCGUGAGACAGGUGCUGCAUGGCUGUCGUCAGCUCGUGUUGUGAAAUGUUGGGUUAAGUCCCGCAACGAGCGCAACCCUUAUCCUUUGUUGCCAGCGGUCCGGCCGGGAACUCAAAGGAGACUGCCAGUGAUAAACUGGAGGAAGGUGGGGAUGACGUCAAGUCAUCAUGGCCCUUACGACCAGGGCUACACACGUGCUACAAUGGCGCAUACAAAGAGAAGCGACCUCGCGAGAGCAAGCGGACCUCAUAAAGUGCGUCGUAGUCCGGAUUGGAGUCUGCAACUCGACUCCAUGAAGUCGGAAUCGCUAGUAAUCGUGGAUCAGAAUGCCACGGUGAAUACGUUCCCGGGCCUUGUACACACCGCCCGUCACACCAUGGGAGUGGGUUGCAAAAGAAGUAGGUAGCUUAACCUUCGGGAGGGCGCUUACCACUUUGUGAUUCAUGACUGGGGUGAAGUCGUAACAAGGUAACCGUAGGGGAACC